RNAcentral lists this long non-coding RNA (300 nucleotides) under Numida meleagris (helmeted guineafowl). RNAcentral's name for it is "lncRNA (ENSNMEG00000003647.1)". Lineage: Eukaryota; Metazoa; Chordata; Aves; Galliformes; Numididae. The record is from RNAcentral.
AACAGAAGGGAUGUAGGGAUAGGUUGCUUAUUUAUAAAUCUGAUGACUUUUAAAGCCAAGCUCCCUACUUUUUAAGCCUGUCUGCUGAAACGUUGCACUCUUUGGGUUGGUACCUGAGCUGUGAUGGCUCUGCAGGACUGGAAUUGCUCGCCAGCACCAAUUAAUUAAAGCCAUCUUCCCAGAAGUGCUCUGCUAUCAGCAUCUGCAGCCAUGCUUACUGCCCUGAAGGCAAAAGUGAAGCAAAGCGAUGACUUGCUGUUCCCUGAAGCCACGCUUCCCUGGUGCUGUGUGGGAAAAGCA